Long non-coding RNA from Xiphophorus couchianus (Monterrey platyfish), 4411 nucleotides. RefSeq lists it as uncharacterized. The transcript is spliced from 2 exons. The record is from RefSeq and is a predicted model, not a curated record. Lineage: Eukaryota; Metazoa; Chordata; Actinopteri; Cyprinodontiformes; Poeciliidae.
CGGAAGAUCGUCAGCUGCGUGCUUUCCAGAAAGCUAAAAGGGAAGCCAUAUUGAGGAAAUGGCGCACGAAGAGUCUCCGAUCAAUAACGACCUUUGGAAGUAGAACGUCUAUCUGGGGGACAAUUACUGAAGAGCAGGUUUGAACACAUUUACAUCCAGAUUGGGCUUUCUGCAAAGUCACAUAGACUUGAAAAUCAAGGUCCAGUACAGAACACCUGAGAAACAAGAUACAAGAUAGGUUGGGUUGAUUAUUGUAAUGUUGGCAAUGGCACAUAAUGUUCUCUGAGUCAUACUGUAAACACGACAGAUGUUGUUCUGUCUUAGUCACAUGUACUGUAUGGCGUAUACCAAAUAAUCGAAAGGUGUUUUAAUGAUUUAAGAAGGACAUCAUUAAUUUUGUGCCUCUACACAUAAAACUCUGGAGAAUAGCGCGUCACAGUCUGGUUUCCAUAAAAUUGGAAAAACAAUGUCAGGACAAAACAAAACAGGAAAACAGUCUGAGCCGGUGAUGUUGGGCACAUUACAGAAGACUUGUCACUCAUUGAAGUGCAUCCAGCUGGAAAUGAUAAGAACAUUCACUCUAACAAAAGUUGUUUUCUUUGGCCACUGCUGGUUUAUAUAUGGUCAACAGAGAUGCAUUAUGUCACAUAAAAGCAUUGCUCAAUAGGUAGAACAAAAGACACAGGGCUGAUUUAUUGUAAAUGGAACAAAGGGCCCUUUGUGUUUGGGUUUAACUAUUUGUCUGCUUUCCCUCAUUGUUUAUUGACAUCACACCUUUGGGGAUCAGGGCAGCUUUAUCUAUGCAAAAGUAAGGGUUAUAGUUGAAAUUGUUUCCAAGCACCAGAAUGACAAGAAUGCCGAUAACACAUAAACUCUCCAACGUAAGUUUUGCGGUUUUAUAAUGGCAAUUUCCAGAACUUUGUCCAUAAUCUCUAAAGAUAUAAUUUGUGUCUUCUUCAGCUCCCACCUUUCCUCAAUGUAGCAAUUAACUGAUUUGAGAAACCUUCUUGUUUACCUUGACUCUGUGAGAAAAGCAGACUUUAUAAAAACAAGGACACAAACUCAAAACUGUUUUUUCAAAACUCUAACCUCACAGUCUUAUGAUGCUGAAAUCCACCACGGCCUGAGUAACAAACACAUGAUCUCAAGCAACACUGUAGGGUCCAAAUUUAUUAUUUUUCUGGUCACAUGUCUUUUAGUGCAGUAGUGAUUCUUUGGCAAAACACAUGUUGUGUUUUAAUUUAACCUGAUUGUUUGUUGCAUGAAAUGAUGAAGAUAAUUUUGUAAGGAUGCUUUACAAAACCUUCAUAUCUCUUAAGCUUUUCAGCAUUUUUUUUCACAUUAUAAAUUCAAGAUUCAAAUGCAUUUGAGAACAAAUUGUAAAACUGUAAUGGAAAAUUUUAUAAUAUGCCCCUCACCCCUCUUUUGCUUUAGAUUGUGUCAUGAUCUCAUCAUGAGAUUGGUCAAGCUGCUCUCUUAUAGACUUCUACAGUGCCGUAUAACAGCAGUGGAGGGGAGUGGCCUGUUCCCUUAAAAGGUGUCUUACCACAUAUAUUUCUGUUCUCACCUUGCAAGGUUUUAAUAAAGUACUUAUUUCCUUCUCAUCCAGACUCUUGUUAAAGUAAUUUUUUCCAUGACAAUAACAAAGCAACUGUAGGAUAAUUGUGAAGCGAGAAGAAAAUACUUAAAGACAAAUUGGAAAAGUGUGUUGUACAUUUACAUCCCCCUCCCCCCCUUACUCUGAUACACCUAAUUAAAAUCUAGUCACUUUCCAAGUAAUCUUACUUCUAAACAGGGUCCAAUCUCGUGAUGUUUCUUUUCACAUGGUGAUAGCAUCAUGCUUUGGGAAAGCUUUAACAGGAUCAACAAAGUUCGUGAGAAAUGACGGCAACAUGGAUGGCACAACAAUCCAGGAAAAAAAUAAAAUAAAACUUGCUAGAGGCAGCAAAAGAAUUGAGUGACCGAAGGUUUACCUUUCAACAGAACAGCAGUGCUAAACACACAAUGGGAUGGCUUAGAUCGAAAUAAUAGUGGCAGACAUUUGUGACUGUCUAUUGGUUCAGCAUACAAUUAUUAUUGCAGAGAAAAUUAAUUACUUAAAAUCUCAGAACUCCACUCUUUAUGACCCCAAGUAGGUUCCUUACCCCAACUUUGUGAAGCACUCACUUAGAACAAAUCAUAUUUGCAUGUUUAGAAUGGGCAAUUCAAAAUCCAGAGCUAAAACCAAUUAAUAAUCUGUAGCAAGACUUAGCAUUGCUGUUCACAAAGAAAACGUUCACCAUCCAGCAUGACAACAACCCUAAAGAUAUGGCCAGAUGGCUUAGAUCAAAGCAUAUUUCUGAAAAAGAAUGGCCCAGUCAAAGUCCAGGCUUAAAGCCAGCUGGCAAUCUUUGAAGAUUAAUAUUUGAAAAUACCGUCCAUCCAGUCUGAGCAGGACUACAUUCCGAAGAAGAUGUAGAGAAAGAAAUUUCAGAGGGCAAAUUGGUAAUAACUUUCAUUCAGUUGUGCAAUUACGUGCUUAUCUAGGUCAAGUAGAUAAAGUCAAAAUCAGAUAUAAUGGACUUUGAAAUAACUAAAAAAAUGUAAAAGACAAAAACAAAAUCCAACCCACACCCCUAAAAGGUAUGAAUACUUUUCAUGGGACUGCAAAUGCAGAAUAUAGAGCAAAUGUCAGUUCUUGAGUGGGAUCAAAGUAGUGUCAUUCACAUACGACGAGCUGAACUUUCUGGUGCAAGUUAUCUACAUUGCAAAUUAAUUUUUAACUUUAGAAAUGCUCUCUGAUGAAUCUCAUUUACUGCGUAAGUGAAACGGCGCCCCCUGGCGCAUAUUACGGUAGCUACAAUUGAAUUGUUUCUACUAUCUUGCUGCUUGAGGUCAAUUUUCAUAUGAACAAAUUACUAUUAAUAUUAUUUUUUAUUGUUAUUAGUUGUUGUUUUUUUUUACAAAAAAUAAACACAAGGGUUUGAGUUUAUACCUAAUUUUACAUAAAUAAUGUAAGCGAAAGUAAACUAUAUCUUUUGUAGGAAUAUUUUCAGUUUCGGUAUAAAAUGAGUUAACAGAGCUUGUUUAUUAAAUUGUAAAUGAGACAAGAUCCUUUAAAUCUGAUAAGGAUUUUAUAUUACUGGUACUCAUAUUGAACAGGGGAAGUUAAUUUGUUGUAUGGGACUUUGGGAUCUUUGUAAUUUUGUAAUGGUGUCAGACAGAGUUGAGUCCCCUGGUCUCUAUAUCUGUCAUUCUGUUCCCUUCCACUGAUGAGUCAUGACUUGCAAAAAUUACUUACUGGUAUCCAGUAUAACAUUCUGUUUACCCUUAAAGGAAGUGUUGUUAUGAUUACUACAAUUAGGGAGGCUCAUACACUACAUUUUUGGUCAGUACAGUGAGAUCCUUGCAAAAGUGUUCACGCCCAUCUCGCUUUUUCUUUUUUGACACGUUGCAACCACAAACACGUGUAUUUUAUUGGAACUAUGUGUGGUAUACCAACUCAGAAGAGUAUAUGUUUGUUUUGUGAGAGGAGACAAUACAGCAUUUCUUAUUUUCUAUUAAGAAUCAGGCAAGUGUGUGGAAUGCAUUUGCAAGAUUUGUCUUUCACUGCAAAAUCAGCUGGAAAUAUUUGGGGUAUGUCACCACUUUGCACUUUUAGAGACUGAAAUGCAGCUUGGAUGGAGAACAUAUUGCUCUUGCAACAGAUUCUCAGUUGGAUUUUAUUUUUGUCAAUUCUGACAGGAAAAUUGUUUGAUCUAAACAAUCUUGCAGUAUUCCCAGUCAAUAUGCUACUGAAAGACAAACCACUGCCCCAGUCUAGUCUUUUGCAGUCACAAACCGAUUUUCUUUCAGGAUUUGUCAUCACUUCUGGUCACCUUCCUUGUCUCUGCUGAAGAAAACCACACCCACAGCCUGAUGCUGCUACAAACAUAGUAGCGUAAUGGCGAGAAGGAUGUGGAGUUUCAGUUUUCACAAAAGGGUAGAUUUAUGUCUAAAAUUUGUUCUCUCACCAGAUUCUCCCACCUGAGCCAUGGAUCUGCACAGUUCCCAUAUAACUCGAGGCAGCUCUUCUGCUCUCCAACUCCAAGAAGAUUUGUAGAUGUGACUUGCUUUUUUCCAUUUUUGGGUGACAAAAUGAACACUGCUCUGUGUUUUGUCAAAAUCUUUGUUGUAUUGUUUUAUAACCUAACCCUGCAUCAAACUUCUCUGCAACUCUGUCUCAAUUAGCUGUUUUUUUUAGUUGUCAUGAUGCUGGUUGUCACUAAUGAUAGCUGACAUUGGUACAUAACUGCCACCAAGUGGCAUGGAGUGUGGAUGGAGAUGCUAACUUAUACUUGGAAACUUCAUAAACUUAGAAACUACAUUGUCUUAAUUAAUUUACUCUUCUUAAUGCACAUACAAAAUGCGUAAUAAAUUAAAUUUAACAGUA